GAAGAAGAAGAAGAAGAGCAGAGCAGAGCAGGCAGCAGCAGGAAGCAGCAGGAGAGGAAUGGUAGCAAGCUGCUUGUUUCAAAGUUGCGCGUAUUGAUGGAAAUGGUCUUUGAAGGAGUGAAAACAGCUGAAAUCAAGUGGAGUCCUGAAGUUCUGAAAAGGUGAAAAUGCUCCUAGACUGGACAAUAAUCAGGUACUGAUGUUCCUGAAGAGAAGUUUCUCAUAACAAUGCUGUAAAUCUUUGCUUGCUUAUUCUUUUAAAAUUGUAAUAGUAUCCUGUAUUUGCUCUGAUUCAUCUAAUAAAAUUGUGCCUCUUA
Archocentrus centrarchus (flier cichlid) is the source of this 317-nucleotide long non-coding RNA. RefSeq lists it as uncharacterized. The transcript is spliced from 4 exons. Lineage: Eukaryota; Metazoa; Chordata; Actinopteri; Cichliformes; Cichlidae. The record is from RefSeq and is a predicted model, not a curated record.